CAUGCAAGUCGAGCGAGAAGCUAACUUCGGUUAGUGGACAGCGGCGCACGGGUGAGUAACGCGUGGGAAUUUACCUUUCGGCGGGGGACAACAGUUGGAAACGACUGCUAAUACCGCAUACGCCCUACGGGGGAAAGAUUUAUCACCGAAAGAUAGGCCCGCGUUAGAUUAGGUAGUUGGUAGGGUCAAAGCCUACCAAGCCGACGAUCUAUAGCUGGUUUGAGAGAACGAUCAGCCACACUGGAACUGAGACACGGUCCAGACUCCUACGGGAGGCAGCAGUGGGGAACCUUGCACAAUGGGCGAAAGCCUGAUGCAGCCAUGCCGCGUGAGUGCUAAGGCCUUCGGGUUGUAAAACUCUUUUAGAUGUGAAGAUGAUGACGGUAACAUCAGAAAAAGCACCGGCUAACUUCGUGCCAGCAGCCGCGGUAAUACGAAGGGCGCUAGCGUUGUUCGGAAUUACUGGGCGUAAAGAGCGUGUAGGCGGCUUAGCAAGUUAGAGGUGAAAUCCCAGGGCUCAACCCUGGAACUGCCUUUGAUACUGCUAAGCUUGAGAUCGUGAGGGGAUAGCGGAAUACCCAGUGUAGAGGUGAAAUUCGU
Molecule: ribosomal RNA, 600 nt
Filed under: uncultured Alphaproteobacteria bacterium
Lineage: Bacteria; Pseudomonadati; Pseudomonadota; Alphaproteobacteria
Description: bacterial SSU rRNA
Rfam family: Bacterial small subunit ribosomal RNA
Source: RNAcentral